GAUGAACGCUGGCGGCGUGCCUAAUACAUGCAAGUCGAGCGAACGGACGAGAAGCUUGCUUCUCUGAUGUUAGCGGCGGACGGGUGAGUAACACGUGGAUAACCUACCUAUAAGACUGGGAUAAAUUCGGGAAACCGGAGCUAAUACCGGAUGAUAUUUUGAACCGCAUGGUUCAAAAGUGAAAGACGGUCUUGCUGUCACUUAUAGAUGGAUCCGCGCUGCAUUAGCUAGUUGGUAAGGUAACGGCUUACCAAGGCAACGAUGCGUAGCCGACCUGAGAGGGUGAUCGGCCACACUGGAACUGAGACACGGUCCAGACUCCUACGGGAGGCAGCAGUAGGGAAUCUUCCGCAAUGGGCGAAAGCCUGACGGAGCCACGCCGCGUGAGUGAUGAAGGUCUUCGGAUCGUAAAACUCCGUUAUUAGGGAAGAACAUAUGUGUAAGUAACUGUGCACAUCUUGACGGUACCUAAUCAGAAAGCCACGGCUAACUACGUG
Molecule: ribosomal RNA, 497 nt
Filed under: uncultured bacterium
Lineage: Bacteria
Description: partial 16S ribosomal RNA
Rfam family: Bacterial small subunit ribosomal RNA
Source: RNAcentral